This 253-nucleotide ribosomal RNA is filed under the name uncultured bacterium. RNAcentral's name for it is "partial 16S ribosomal RNA". It matches the Rfam family "Bacterial small subunit ribosomal RNA", at positions 524 to 776 of the family's 1533-position model. The record is from RNAcentral.
UACGAAGGGGGCUAGCGUUGCUCGGAAUUACUGGGCGUAAAGCGCACGUAGGCGGAUCUUUAAGUCAGGGGUGAAAUCCUGGAGCUCAACUCCAGAACUGCCUUCGAUACUGAGAGUCUUGAGUCCGGGAGAGGUGAGUGGAACUGCGAGUGUAGAGGUGAAAUUCGUAGAUAUUCGCAAGAACACCAGUGGCGAAGGCGGCUCACUGGCCCGGUACUGACGCUGAGGUGCGAAAGCGUGGGGAGCAAACAGG